UGGGGAAUAUUGGACAAUGGGCGAAAGCCUGAUCCAGCCAUGCCGCGUGUGUGAAGAAGGUCUUCGGAUUGUAAAGCACUUUAAGUUGGGAGGAAGGGCAGUAAGCGAAUACCUUGCUGUUUUGACGUUACCGACAGAAUAAGCACCGGCUAACUCUGUGCCAGCAGCCGCGGUAAUACAGAGGGUGCAAGCGUUAAUCGGAAUUACUGGGCGUAAAGCGCGCGUAGGUGGUUCGUUAAGUUGAAUGUGAAAGCCCCGGGCUCAACCUGGGAACUGCAUCCAAAACUGGCGAGCUAGAGUAGGGCAGAGGGUGGUGGAAUUUCCUGUGUAGCGGUGAAAUGCGUAGAUAUAGGAAGGAACACCAGUGGCGAAGGCAACCACCUGGGCUCAUACUGACACUGAGGUGCGAAAGCGUGGGGAGCAAACAGG
This 429-nucleotide ribosomal RNA is filed under the name Pseudomonadota bacterium. RNAcentral's name for it is "Proteobacteria bacterium partial 16S ribosomal RNA". It matches the Rfam family "Bacterial small subunit ribosomal RNA", at positions 355 to 776 of the family's 1533-position model. Lineage: Bacteria; Pseudomonadati; Pseudomonadota. The record is from RNAcentral.